GUCAAGUCAGAACAUCUCAGUCAUCCGGCUGAGUGGUUUGAUGGAGACCUACAGGAGCAGGUUCACGGCGGGUCUUGGACAGGACAAGCAUUACUAUUCACCAGCAGCCCCGGGAACUCUCCCUGAGGCCUCCACUCCAGUCACUUCAUAACCUGGCAAGAAUAGUGUCACUUUCUGGGGUUUUCAGCACUGAUGACACUCGUUUCUUCAUGAAAAAGCCUGGGUCACCUGAGGACGCUUCUUGCAUGGAUCCAGCUGGCCUGCACCUUCCUGUCACCAAUUCCCUGUGUUCCCUCCAGGGGGGCUGACCAUCG
This 314-nucleotide long non-coding RNA is filed under the name Capra hircus (goat). RNAcentral describes it as "lncRNA (ENSCHIG00000007628.1)". The record is from RNAcentral. Lineage: Eukaryota; Metazoa; Chordata; Mammalia; Artiodactyla; Bovidae.